UGAUGGCGUCGACCACGUCCGCUGCAGCCUCCAUGCUUCUCACGGGAUCCACCACUAGCGCCACGCCUCAUAUGGCCACGACGCCUCAGUUCAUCACAAUAUCGGGCCCUCAAGGACAAAACUCCACAGCAGUCCCGGCAAUAUCUGCUUCCUCCCCGUUUCCAACAAUCACAUUAGACCUGACGAACACUCCCGCCUCCCAGAUAAGCAACAGAUCGAACAACUCCCCUGGCACUGCAUCCACAAAUUUGCAUUACUUCCAGGACACCACCAUCAAUGGCGUCACAAUCUCACAAGCUACCACUCAGCAACAAUUGAUGAUCCCCCAACAACCCACUACAAUAAGCUGCCCGAUGUUCCUAAAUGAAACAGCUCACAAACACGAUGGCAGCAAUUUAACCCUAAGAGGGGCUUUCAGCGACCCGACCACCCAUCACCAUCGCCAAAUGGACUCCUCGGACGGGACACGCAGCGACCACCAGCACAAACCGGCAGUAACACAACCACCAGAAUCACCGACGACACUGGCCGAGUCCAUGACAGCCGCCACAGCAGCGAUUACUUCCGAUCCCAACUUCGCGGCAGCUCUAGCGGCGGCCAUCACGUCCAUUCUAGCUCACCAGCACAACAACAACAACAACCAGAGCUUGCAGGAUCUGGCCACGCAAGUUACGGAGAUCAGGCACAGGGAGGGGCACCAAAAUACGUCCUUACCGCCGUCGUCAUUCACUCCGGUGGCAUCCAGCGGCACCACGGAAGGACUGCAGGUGCAACCUAUGUCCCACGAUGCCGAACUCUCAACCAUUCUGGCGUCGGCAAUGAUGUCCACAUCGAAGGAUCCACCUUCGACCGGAUUGUCC
This 860-nucleotide long non-coding RNA is filed under the name Physcomitrium patens. RNAcentral's name for it is "long non-coding RNA (PPAT_LNC002874)". The record is from RNAcentral. Lineage: Eukaryota; Viridiplantae; Streptophyta; Bryopsida; Funariales; Funariaceae.